This 1105-nucleotide long non-coding RNA is filed under the name Piliocolobus tephrosceles (Ugandan red Colobus). RNAcentral describes it as "lncRNA (ENSPTEG00000014900.1)". Lineage: Eukaryota; Metazoa; Chordata; Mammalia; Primates; Cercopithecidae. The record is from RNAcentral.
AAAGAACUAAUCGAAUCGUAUGAAAUAAACAACAUUAUAAUUGAGAAUUUAGAAAUAUAUAAUAAUUUGAAAAAAAAAAUAAAUGAUGAUUUUUAUUUUAUUGGCGUGUUAAAAGAGGAAUUAAACAAAUUCAUGAAAAAGAAAAACAUAAAACAUAUAAUUGAAUAUAUCAUGUCGGAAAAGAAGUUAGUAGAAAAAGUAUUGUUAGAAAAGGGCAUAACAAAGGGCCUUGGAACAAACUUUUGUAGUGAUGUACAAACAAAUAAUAAAAUAGCAUUAACCGAUAUAUAUAAUUUUGUAAGUUUUGCAAAUCAUUUGGUAUGUGAAGAAGGGGUAGGAGGAGCGGUAGGAACAGGGGUAGAUACAAUGAUACAAACAGAAGAAAUAAAAAAAAAAAAAAAAAUUGAAAAAACAAAAGGCGAUGAUUAUUACAAUAAUAAUAAUGUAAGUAACAAGCAUAAUAUAUUAAACGAGAAAAUAAACAGGUGGUUAGAAUCAAAUAAAUCAAAAAUAGCAAUUACAGAGGUAAUAACAAAAAAUAACUCAAAUGAUAAAUUAGUGGAAUAUUUUAAAAUUAUGAAGCUAUUAAAUAUAAGAGGAAACAAAAUAAAAGAGCUAUUAAAAAAAAUACGUACUGGGAAAAAGUAUUACCAUAUUAAAAUUAGUAACGAUGAUGAUAUGGAAGGAGUUAAUGGAAGUUAUGUUAAUUCUGUUGGGGAAAAUGUAUGUGGUCAGAAUGGGAAUUAUAACUUGAGUGAUAGUUCCAAACAGUACGAUAAUUUAAGAUCACACGAUAGUGAUAACAAUAGUUUUCCUCUUGGACAGAAGUCUUUAGAAAACAUGAUUUAUCUACAGGUAAUAAACAAAAUGAACACAAAAUUAGUUAAUAACUUAAAUUUAUGUAAUUCAUUAAAAGAGUUGAUUAUUUGUAAUGUUUUUAUGAGUAGUUGCAUAUCAAAUAUAAAUAUAAUAAAUUAUAUAAUUUUAAUGUAUUUAAAAAAUGAGACAGUUAAUGCAUUAAUGAAAAAUAAUAAUACUCCUAAAAGAGCAGAUGAAAAUAGUUUGGAUAUACAUCACGAUUUUGACUUAAACAAAAAUAAUGGCC